GAUGAACGCUGGCGGCGUGCUUAACACAUGCAAGUCGAACGGAAAGGCCCAAGCUUGCUUGGGUACUCGAGUGGCGAACGGGUGAGUAACACGUGGGUGAUCUGCCCUGCACUUCGGGAUAAGCCUGGGAAACUGGGUCUAAUACCGGAUAGGACCACAUUUUGGAUGGUGUGGUGGAAAGUUUUUCGGUGUGGGAUGAGCUCGCGGCCUAUCAGCUUGUUGGUGGGGUAAUGGCCUACCAAGGCGUCGACGGGUAGCCGGCCUGAGAGGGUGUACGGCCACAUUGGGACUGAGAUACGGCCCAGACUCCUACGGGAGGCAGCAGUGGGGAAUAUUGCACAAUGGGCGCAAGCCUGAUGCAGCGACGCCGCGUGGGGGAUGACGGCCCUCGGGUUGUAAACUCCUUUCGCUAGGGACGAAGCGUUAUGUGACGGUACCUGGAGAAGAGGCACCGGCUAACUACGUG
This 466-nucleotide ribosomal RNA is filed under the name uncultured bacterium. Its description in RNAcentral is "partial 16S ribosomal RNA". It matches the Rfam family "Bacterial small subunit ribosomal RNA", at positions 28 to 507 of the family's 1533-position model. The record is from RNAcentral.